GAUGAACGCUGGCGGCGUGCCUAAUACAUGCAAGUCGAGCGAACGGACGAGAAGCUUGCUUCUCUGAUGUUAGCGGCGGACGGGUGAGUAACACGUGGAUAACCUACCUAUAAGACUGGGAUAACUUCGGGAAACCGGAGCUAAUACCGGAUAAUAUUUUGAACCGCAUGGUUCAAAAGUGAAAGACGGUCUUGCUGUCACUUAUAGAUGGAUCCGCGCUGCAUUAGCUAGUUGGUAAGGUAACGGCUUACCAAGGCAACGAUGCAUAGCCGACCUGAGAGGGUGAUCGGCCACACUGGAACUGAGACACGGUCCAGACUCCUACGGGAGGCAGCAGUAGGGAAUCUUCCGCAAUGGGCGAAAGCCUGACGGAGCAACGCCGCGUGAGUGAUGAAGGUCUUCGGAUCGUAAAACUCUGUUAUUAGGGAAGAACAUAUGUGUAAGUAACUGUGCACAUCUUGACGGUACCUAAUCAGAAAGCCACGGCUAACUACGUGCCAGCAGCCGCGGUAAUACGUAGGUGGCAAGCGUUAUCCGGAAUUAUUUGGGCGUAAGCGCGCGUAGCGGUUUUUUAGUCUGAUGUGAAAGCCCACGGCUCAACCGUGGAGGGUCAUUGGAAACUGGAAAACUUGAGUGCAGAAGAGGAAAGUGGAAUUCCAUGUGUAGCGGUGAAAUGCGCAGAGAUACGGAGGAACACCAGUGGCGAAGGCGACUUUCUGGUCUGUAACUGACGCUGAUGUGCGAAAGCGUGGGGAUCAAACAGGAUUAGAUACCCUGGUAGUCCACGCCGUAAACGAUGAGUGCUAAGUGUUAGGGGGUUUCCGCCCCUUAGUGCUGCAGCUAACGCAUUAAGCACUCCGCCUGGGGAGUACGACCGCAAGGUUGAAACUCAAAGGAAUUGACGGGGACCCGCACAAGCGGUGGAGCAUGUGGUUUAAUUCGAAGCAACGCGAAGAACCUUACCAAAUCUUGACAUCCUUUGACAACUCUAGAGAUAGAGCCUUCCCCUUCGGGGGACAAAGUGACAGGUGGUGCAUGGUUGUCGUCAGCUCGUGUCGUGAGAUGUUGGGUUAAGUCCCGCAACGAGCGCAACCCUUAAGCUUAGUUGCCAUCAUUAAGUUGGGCACUCUAAGUUGACUGCCGGUGACAAACCGGAGGAAGGUGGGGAUGACGUCAAAUCAUCAUGCCCCUUAUGAUUUGGGCUACACACGUGCUACAAUGGACAAUACAAAGGGCAGCGAAACCGCGAGGUCAAGCAAAUCCCAUAAAGUUGUUCUCAGUUCGGAUUGUAGUCUGCAACUCGACUACAUGAAGCUGGAAUCGCUAGUAAUCGUAGAUCAGCAUGCUACGGUGAAUACGUUCCCGGGUCU
Molecule: ribosomal RNA, 1370 nt
Filed under: uncultured bacterium
Lineage: Bacteria
Description: bacterial SSU rRNA
Rfam family: Bacterial small subunit ribosomal RNA
Source: RNAcentral